CGACACACUAUCGUUAACUGAAUACAUAGGUUAACGAGGCGAACCGGGGGAACUGAAACAUCUAAGUACCCCGAGGAAAAGAAAUCAACCGAGAUUCCCCCAGUAGCGGCGAGCGAACGGGGAGCAGCCCGGAGUCUGAAUCAGCUUGUGUGUUAGUGGAACGGUCUGGAAAGUCCGACGGUACAGGGUGAUAGUCCCGUACACGAAAAUGCACAUGCUGUGAACUCGAAGAGUAGGGCGGGACACGUGGUAUCCUGUCUGAAUAUGGGGGGACCAUCCUCCAAGGCUAAAUACUCCUGACUGACCGAUAGUGAACCAGUACCGUGAGGGAAAGGCGAAAAGAACCCCGGCGAGGGGAGUGAAAAAGAACCUGAAACCGUGUACGUACAAGCAGUGGGAGCCUCUUUAUGGGGUGACUGCGUACCUUUUGUAUAAUGGGUCAGCGACUUAUAUUCUGUAGCAAGGUUAACCGUAUAGGGGAGCCGAAGGGAAACCGAGUCUUAACUGGGCGUUAAGUUGCAGGGUAUAGACCCGAAACCCGGUGAUCUAGCCAUGGGCAGGUUGAAGGUUGGGUAACACUAACUGGAGGACCGAACCGACUAAUGUUGAAAAAUUAGCGGAUGACCUGUGGCUGGGGGUGAAAGGCCAAUCAAACCGGGAGAUAGCUGGUUCUCCCCGAAAGCUAUUUAGGUAGCGCCUCGUGAACUCAUCUUCGGGGGUAGAGCACUGUUUCGGCUAGGGGGCCAUCCCGGCUUACCAACCCGAUGCAAACUACGAAUACCGAAGAAUGUUAUCACGGGAGACACACGGCGGGUGCUAACGUCCGUCGUGAAGAGGGAAACAACCCAGACCGCCAGCUAAGGUCCCAAAGUCAUGGUUAAGUGGGAAACGAUGUGGGAAGGCACAGACAGCCAGGAUGUUGGCUUAGAAGCAGCCAUCAUUUAAAGAAAGCGUAAUAGCUCACUGGUCGAGUCGGCCUGCGCGGAAGAUGUAACGGGGCUAAACCAUGCACCGAAGCUGCGGCAGCGACACUAUGUGUUGUUGGGUAGGGGAGCGUUCUGUAAGCCGUUGAAGGUGUGCUGUGAGGCAUGCUGGAGGUAUCAGAAGUGCGAAUGCUGACAUAAGUAACGAUAAAGCGGGUGAAAAGCCCGCUCGCCGGAAGACCAAGGGUUCCUGUCCAACGUUAAUCGGGGCAGGGUGAGUCGACCCCUAAGGCGAGGCCGAAAGGCGUAGUCGAUGGGAAACAGGUUAAUAUUCCUGUACUUGGUGUUACUGCGAAGGGGGGACGGAGAAGGCUAUGUCAGCCGGGCGACGGUUGUCCCGGUUUAAGCAUGUAGGCGGAGGUUCCAGGUAAAUCCGGUACCUUUUAACGCUGAGGUGUGAUGACGAGGCACUACGGUGCUGAAGUGAUAAAUGCCCUGCUUCCAGGAAAAGCCUCUAAGCAUCAGGUAACACGAAAUCGUACCCCAAACCGACACAGGUGGUCAGGUAGAGAAUACCAAGGCGCUUGAGAGAACUCGGGUGAAGGAACUAGGCAAAAUGGUGCCGUAACUUCGGGAGAAGGCACGCUGAUAUGUAGGUGAAGCCCCUGCGGGCGGAGCUGAAAUCAGUCGAAGAUACCAGCUGGCUGCAACUGUUUAUUAAAAACACAGCACUGUGCAAACACGAAAGUGGACGUAUACGGUGUGACGCCUGCCCGGUGCCGGAAGGUUAAUUGAUGGGGUUAGCGGCAACGCGAAGCUCUUGAUCGAAGCCCCGGUAAACGGCGGCCGUAACUAUAACGGUCCUAAGGUAGCGAAAUUCCUUGUCGGGUAAGUUCCGACCUGCACGAAUGGCGUAAUGAUGGCCAGGCUGUCUCCACCCGAGACUCAGUGAAAUUGAACUCGCUGUGAAGAUGCAGUGUACCCGCGGCAAGACGGAAAGACCCCGUGAACCUUUACUAUAGCUUGACACUGAACACUGGUCCUUGAUGUGUAGGAUAGGUGGGAGGCUUUGAAGCGUGGACGCCAGUCUGCGUGGAGCCGCCCUUGAAAUACCACCCUUUAAUGGCUGGUGUUCUAACGUAGACCCGUGAUCCGGGUUGCGGACAGUGUCUGGUGGGUAGUUUGACUGGGGCGGUCUCCUCCCAAAGAGUAACGGAGGAGCACGAAGGUUGGCUAAUCCUGGUCGGACAUCAGGAGGUUAGUGCAAUGGCAUAAGCCAGCUUGACUGCGAGCGUGACGGCGCGAGCAGGUGCGAAAGCAGGUCAUAGUGAUCCGGUGGUUCUGAAUGGAAGGGCCAUCGCUCAACGGAUAAAAGGUACUCCGGGGAUAACAGGCUGAUACCGCCCAAGAGUUCAUAUCGACGGCGGUGUUUGGCACCUCGAUGUCGGCUCAUCACAUCCUGGGGCUGAAGUAGGUCCCAAGGGUAUGGCUGUUCGCCAUUUAAAGUGGUACGCGAGCUGGGUUUAGAACGUCGUGAGACAGUUCGGUCCCUAUCUGCCGUGGGCGCUGGAGAAUUGAGGGGGGCUGCUCCUAGUACGAGAGGACCGGAGUGGACGCAUCACUGGUGUUCGGGUUGUCAUGCCAAUGGCACUGCCCGGUAGCUAAAUGCGGAAGAGAUAAGUGCUGAAAGCAUCUAAGCACGAAACUUGCCCCGAGAUGAGUUCUCCCUGAGACUUUAAGUCUCCUGAAGGAACGUUGAAGACGACGACGUUGAUAGGUCGGGUGUGUAAGCGCAGCGAUGCGUUGAGCUAACCGAUACUAAUGAACCGUGAGGCUUAACCUU
This 2766-nucleotide ribosomal RNA is filed under the name Enterobacter hormaechei. Its description in RNAcentral is "23S ribosomal RNA". It matches the Rfam family "Bacterial large subunit ribosomal RNA". The record is from RNAcentral. Lineage: Bacteria; Pseudomonadati; Pseudomonadota; Gammaproteobacteria; Enterobacterales; Enterobacteriaceae.